GGAGAAGUUUGGACAACUGAGUUUUUGUAGAGUCAUGUGUCAUUGUGUGACUACUGGUGCCAACAAUAAGCUGACGUUUGGGAAAGGAACGAUUCUGACUGUUACUCCAGAUAUACAGGACCCAAAGCCAGCUGUGUACCAGCUGAGAGACUCUAAGUUCAAGAACAGUAGCAUCUGCCUGUUCACCGACUUCAGCUCUCAAGUCAAUGUGACGAAGGGAGUGGCCCCUGACUUGUUCGUCUCCGACAAAACUGUGCUGGACAUGAAGUCUAUGGAUUCCAAGAGCAACGCGGUCAUUGUCUGGAGCAACCAAAACGGUUUCAACUGUAAAGACGCCUUCAAAGAGGAGGCCUCCCACCCCAGCUCAGACGUUCCCUGCGAUGCCAAGUUGAUAGAGAAAAGCUUUGAAACAGAUAUGAACCUAAACUUCCAAAACCUGUCAGUGAUGGGACUCCGCAUCCUCCUCCUGAAAGUGGCCGGAUUUAACCUGCUCAUGACGCUGCGGCUGUGGUCCAGCUGAGGCUGGCAAGACUGAAGGAGGCUGGACUCCCGAGACCCUUCCUCUUCACCACCCCUCAUUUCCCUCUUCAAGCAAAAAGGAGCCCUCCCACCUCAUAAAGAAGGCCAACUGGAUCUCCUGAACCUGUGCCGGAGAUUGCUGACGAGCUGCUACGCGCACCCAGGCUGCUCCCUUAUGCUGCUGGCCAUUCACAGGAAGCUGCGACUCCCCCUGGAUAUGCAGACCUACCCCCAAUCUCACCAUCACCUCCCACCCCACCCCACCCCCUGUAGAUUCCCAGUAGAAUCUCUUGGACUGCAGCUCCUGGAGAAUGUUGUAAAGAACAUGCUUUUGGUUUGCUUUUUAAAAUCACACAUCACUCUUUCCUCAAGAUGUAGAAAACGCUAUCUCAUUGUCUAGCCCCUCCCUGCUACUGUGUGUAUCUGAGCCCUGUUGUAUAUGGUCCUGCUGUCCAUGACUUCAUUAAAGACAACUCAGAAGAGAAA
Non-coding RNA from Mesocricetus auratus (golden hamster), 1005 nucleotides. Lineage: Eukaryota; Metazoa; Chordata; Mammalia; Rodentia; Cricetidae. The record is from the annotation of a RefSeq genome assembly.